GAUGAACGCUGGCGGCGUGCUUAACACAUGCAAGUCGAACGAUGAAGCCCAGCUUGCUGGGUGGAUUAGUGGCGAACGGGUGAGUAACACGUGAGUAACCUGCCCUUGACUCUGGGAUAAGCCCGGGAAACUGGGUCUAAUACCGGAUAGGAGCGCCUGUCGCAUGACGGGUGCUGGAAAGAUUUUUCGGUCAUGGAUGGACUCGCGGCCUAUCAGCUUGUUGGUGAGGUAAUGGCUCACCAAGGCGACGACGGGUAGCCGGCCUGAGAGGGUGACCGGCCACACUGGGACUGAGACACGGCCCAGACUCCUACGGGAGGCAGCAGUGGGGAAUAUUGCACAAUGGGCGGAAGCCUGAUGCAGCGACGCCGCGUGAGGGAUGACGGGCCUUUCGGGUCGUAAACCUUCUUUCAGCCAGGGAAAGAAAGCGAA
RNAcentral lists this ribosomal RNA (432 nucleotides) under Micrococcus luteus. RNAcentral describes it as "bacterial SSU rRNA". It matches the Rfam family "Bacterial small subunit ribosomal RNA", at positions 28 to 457 of the family's 1533-position model. Lineage: Bacteria; Bacillati; Actinomycetota; Actinomycetes; Micrococcales; Micrococcaceae. The record is from RNAcentral.